Macaca nemestrina (pig-tailed macaque) is the source of this 3937-nucleotide long non-coding RNA. NCBI's taxonomy places the organism in Eukaryota, Metazoa, Chordata, Mammalia, Primates, Cercopithecidae. The record is from Ensembl.
GGGUGCGAUCCAAAGGCCGCGGGCCACCGGCCUCGCCGCGGGUUCAAGUGCGUCCGGGUUUGGACGCCGCGGCUCCAGGAGUGUGCUCUCUCUCCUGCCCAUCCCCUCCCCGGAGUUCAGCGUAUCCGCGGCUCCGGGGACCCCUCUUCCCGGCCCUCCCAGCCGCGCGGCCGCCCGCCUCGGGCCCGACCCAACGCGCCUGUCUCCGGUUCCUGGCCAAGGCGCGAGGACGCGGGCGGGCACCGGGUUCCCACUUCUCCCAGGCCACGAUCCCGGCCCACGCACGAGGCUCCCGCGCCCAUCGUGGAGGCUCCGCCUGGAAAAGAAGUUCGACUUCCUCUCCAAGCUGCUCCGAGGGGAAUCGGAAAUCGGCAGGAAAUGACCAGAACUGCCAGCCUGCGCCUUUGCAGCCGGCCCUCGCUUUUCUGAAGACGAGCAGCUCCCACCAAAGUCUUGCCUCCCCCUACCCCGAAAGCCCCGCUCAGGUCAAAGAGCCUAAAAGAAAAGCCCGGAGCCAUACACUCCUCUGGUUGAAGCCAUAAAGAGUUCAAUAUUUCCAGUGAAAAUUUGCCUGUUCAAAAAGAAAACAUUCACAAAUGAGCAGUGUGUUAGAAGACAACUGAACUGCUUCUAGGAAUGGUGGGUAUGCUAAUAUUUACCAAAUGAUACAACAUGUGCAUGCCAAAGCUCUUUGUAAACUAUAACACACCUCCAAAUGAAAGCUAUUUGCAUAUAUUUCAAUCAACUUGUCUGCCUUUACCACAUCCACCAACUAAUCCUUAUGCUCCCACUGCAAAGACUCUCCUCUUUUUGGAGAAGAACACCAAUUGUUUGAAACCCUGGACUUGCCAACAAUCUUAAGGCAUCUUCAUAGUAUCCUUCCUUAAGAGUGCUUUCAUCUUAAUAUUAAGUAAACAUUUAGAAGUUUAUGAACUUUGGGGACUUUCUUUUCAGAUAACUGAACACGUGUAUAUAAAAUUACAAUAUUCUGAUAAGUGAGGGGAAGAAAAUAAAAAUAGGUUUCAAUACAGUUAUAGCUUAAGAUCUUGAUGAAAUCGAGAGCAAAGUAGAAAUCAAGUGCAUCGAAUGAAGAAGGGUCAGACUGAAUUCUGUUUGUAAUUUUUUCAUAUGAACUGAAAUGCAGUUUUUCUGACUAUAUGUUUUAUUUUAUAAAUAUUAAUCACUUUGAUUCAUUUAAUUUCUCUGGAAGAAACUGUAGCUUUUGUAACAGAGUCUGCUCUACUGGGUUGUGUAUGGGCACCUACCAGUUUGCUUUCUAGUCAGUAUCAUGUGAAUUGUCUACAGAAAAUGCCCUUAGCAAACACCUUCAAAAAGCACCCAUUCCAAGAGCACACCUCUUGUGUCUCUCACGAAGCAAGUGGUACUAUGUCUAGCCAAGGAGGCAGACUCAAAUUCAUGCAUUCAUCUCAGGUUUUUUGGUGACCACCUUCCUAGGUCCUGCUCUUGGCAACUGUAAGCCAAGUGUACAUAAGUAUCAGAAUGGAUUCUCUAGGUACCAAGUGAAAAUUCUAUCUCUAGUCACAUGCUCCUGCACCCUUCAUGUGGGAAAAAUAUUCCAGUCUUUCCUUGAUUACAUCACAGAUGAUACGAGAACAGGACACAGGGGACAGGGAACUGCUGAACAGCUGGGUAUCUCUGGAAACUUGGAGCACUUAAAAACACUUUGAGGCCAUGCAGCUGCUCUUUUUUUUUAAUUGUCUUCAGUGAAACUCCAAAACCCCAAUAAUAUCUACCUUAAAAGCAUCAGGAGUAUUUUAAUUGGGCAAUAACCAUCCAUAUUUUCCUUCUGAUAAAUUAAAAGGAAUUAAGAAUGAAAUUUUAUGAUGAUUAUAAAGUGUAUUACUGACCCAAGGGACAAGAACAAUUGUGAAAAAUAUGUCCUACAUAUUUGGCAUGAAUAUGAAUUUAGACUUUAAACCAUUCAACUUAAAUGCUCAAGCAUCUUAUUAAAGCUUAUAAAAUAAUAUUCACAUAAUGAUAACAGAGUAACUUAUAAUCAUGAUUGAUAUUAUAGCAUCAAUAUUGCAGCAGGCUUUGUGCCAAAUACUGAAAUUGACUUGGUCUUUGCCUGUUGGACUUAGAAUAAAAAUAAAUACAUUAUUAAAAAGAUGAAACAUGGUAAAAGAUUUUGUGCAUUUGAGAUUUUUUUUUCUUUCUCCGAUUAAAAUUACUAACAAUGAAAAGGAAAAGUGAUUUUUGAAAAACCUGGAAAACCUAAUGAGUUGGAAUUGUACUACUAAAUGUUGGAAGAAGAUCUGAUCAAAAUUAAACUUUAAUAGCCAGCAGCCGUUUGAGGACAAGUUCACCUUACAUGAAUCCGGGUCAUCAUUUGAGGGUAACCCACCAAGCUUAGCCUAGCGGUGGCCAGGCCCUAAAAUAGGAGUCGUCUUGGAGAGCAAGAACAUUUCUGUAUUUGAGUUAAUGCUACCCACCAGCAAUCAAGAUCAAUUAACUCUUGUAGUAAACUUUUUUAAUGAAUUGGAGAUGACUACAGAAAUUGCCAAAGACAAUAUGGGCAAAAAUGGAUGGGCUAAGUGAAGGGGCUGCCUAUAUCAGCAUUUACUUAGGCCUGGCCCCACAAAGCCCUAGCAGUUGCCAUUCAGACACUUGCAUGUUAACAACAUUAAGACCUUUAGAGUGUAUAUUUAACUGUAUUUUCUUCCACAUAGGUAUUGGCACUUUUUAGCAUGACCUACCUUUUGUGUGUCAUGCUAAAAAGUGUAUAUAACUAAUAGAACACACACAUUUAACUUAUUAUGGGCUUGGGUUUCCUGGGUUUCAGCUUCAGUGUAUGUCCCCUGGCAGGUUUCUUAACUGGUCUGAGCGUAAGUUUCCUCAUUUAUAAAACAAAGGCAGUAAGUGGUGCCUUUCUGCAAUAUUAAAAUUAGUAUUAAAUGGAAUAAUGUUCACAAAAUAUCUGGAACAGUUUGCCGUCAGUAAAUAUCUAUUACUAUAGUUGCAAGGGAAAACAAGAUUGAAUCUUUGUUCUCAGUUUCUAUAAAUAUAAAAUUUUAGAGUUUUUUUUUUUUUUUUUUUUUUGUUUUUUUUUUUUUUUGAGACGGAGUCUCGCUCUGUCGCCCAGGCUGGAGUGCAGUGGCGCGAUUUCGGCUCACUGCAAGCUCCGCCUCCCGGAUUCACGCCAUUCUCCUGCCUCAGACUCCCAAGUAGCUGGGACUACAGGCGCCGCCACCAAGCCCGGCUAGUUUUUUGUAUUUUUUAGUAGAGACGGGGUUUCACCAUGUUAGCCAGGAUGGUCUUGAUCUCCUGACCUCGUGAUCCACCCGUCUCGGCCUCCCAAAGUGCUGGGAUUACAGGGUUGAGCCACCGCGCCCGGCCUUAGAUAUUGUUUAAAGAGAGAGAGCAUCUAAAUGAACAGUUUCAAUAGCAUCUUGUUCAUAUUCAGAAAUACAGCCCUGAACUCAAACUUGAAACUUUAGUGUUAGCCAACCUCCCCUCCUCCCAUCACCACCUGAAGGAAAAUAUCUUUGUGUAGCACAAAAGAACUUAAUUCUAAUUCCUUUUUUUUUUUAUUUUAAGACAGGGUCUCACUGUGCCAUCACCCAGGCUGGAGUGUGGUGGCACCAUCAUGGUUCACUACAGCCUUGAAUUCCUGAGCUUAAGUGAUCCUCCCACCUCAACCUCCCGAGUAGCUGGAACUGCAGGUGUGAGCCACCAUGCCUGGCUGAUUUAUCUUUUUAAAUUUUUUUAUAAAGACUGGGUCUCAACUAUAUUGCUCAGCCUGGAAAAGAACUUCUUUCCCUCCAGGUGAUACCUUUUCCAGACAAGUCAGCUUAAAAAUUGACCCAAGGGCCCUGAAGUACACAAUUUCCUUGGAGAAAGAAAGAAAGAAGGGAAAAGGACUUGCGGACUUGCUGAUUCAUUUUGGGGCCUGUGGGUAACAUCAGAAUGGCAAAGC